This 313-nucleotide ribosomal RNA is filed under the name Dyadobacter psychrophilus. Its description in RNAcentral is "bacterial SSU rRNA". It matches the Rfam family "Bacterial small subunit ribosomal RNA", at positions 19 to 343 of the family's 1533-position model. The record is from RNAcentral. Lineage: Bacteria; Pseudomonadati; Bacteroidota; Cytophagia; Cytophagales; Spirosomataceae.
CUGGCUCAGGAUGAACGCUAGCGGCAGGCUUAAUACAUGCAAGGCGAGGGGGCAGCAAUGUCACCGUCGUACGGGUGCGUAACGCGUAUGCAACCUACCUUCAACUGGGGGAUAGCCCGGGGAAACCCGGAUUAAUACCGCAUAACACAGGGGUACAGCAUUGUACUAUUUGUUAAAGAUUUAUUGGUUGAAGAUGGGCAUGCGUUCGAUUAGCUAGUUGGUAUGGGUAACGGCCUACCAAGGCGACGAUCGAUAGGGGAGCUGAGAGGUUGAUCCCCCACACGGGCACUGAGAUACGGGCCCGACUCCUACG